This 900-nucleotide ribosomal RNA is filed under the name uncultured bacterium. RNAcentral's name for it is "bacterial SSU rRNA". It matches the Rfam family "Bacterial small subunit ribosomal RNA", at positions 25 to 915 of the family's 1533-position model. The record is from RNAcentral.
CAGGAUGAACGCUAGCUACAGGCUUAACACAUGCAAGUCGAGGGGAAACGACAUCGAAAGCUUGCUUUCGAUGGGCGUCGACCGGCGCACGGGUGAGUAACGCGUAUCCAACCUGCCCAUCACUUGGGGAUAACCUUGCGAAAGUAAGACUAAUACCCAAUGACGUCUCUAGAAGACAUCUGAAGGAGAUUAAAGAUUUAUCGGUGAUGGAUGGGGAUGCGUCUGAUUAGCUUGUUGGCGGGGUAACGGCCCACCAAGGCGACGAUCAGUAGGGGUUCUGAGAGGAAGGUCCCCCACAUUGGAACUGAGACACGGUCCAAACUCCUACGGGAGGCAGCAGUGAGGAAUAUUGGUCAAUGGGCGAGAGCCUGAACCAGCCAAGUAGCGUGCAGGAUGACGGCCCUAUGGGUUGUAAACUGCUUUUAUAAGGGAAUAAAGUGAGCCUCGUGAGGCUUUUUGCAUGUACCUUAUGAAUAAGGACCGGCUAAUUCCGUGCCAGCAGCCGCGGUAAUACGGAAGGUCCGGGCGUUAUCCGGAUUUAUUGGGUUUAAAGGGAGCGUAGGCCGGAGAUUAAGCGUGUUGUGAAAUGUAGACGCUCAACGUCUGCACUGCAGCGCGAACUGGUUUCCUUGAGUACGCACAAAGUGGGCGGAAUUCGUGGUGUAGCGGUGAAAUGCUUAGAUAUCACGAAGAACUCCGAUUGCGAAGGCAGCUCACUGGAGCGCAACUGACGCUGAAGCUCGAAAGUGCGGGUAUCGAACAGGAUUAGAUACCCUGGUAGUCCGCACGGUAAACGAUGGAUGCCCGCUGUUGGUCUGAAUAGGUCAGCGGCCAAGCGAAAGCAUUAAGCAUCCCACCUGGGGAGUACGCCGGCAACGGUGAAACUCAAAGGAAUUGACG